CAGGGAUUGCCCUAGUAACGGCGAGUGAAGCGGCAACAGCUCAAAUUUGAAAUCUGGCUCUUUUAGAGUCCGAGUUGUAAUUUGCAGAGGGCGCUUUGGCUUUGGCAGCGGUCCAAGUUCCUUGGAACAGGACGUCACAGAGGGUGAGAAUCCCGUACGUGGUCGCUGGCUAUUGCCGUGUAAAGCCCCUUCGACGAGUCGAGUUGUUUGGGAAUGCAGCUCUAAAUGGGAGGUACAUUUCUUCUAAAGCUAAAUAUUGGCCAGAGACCGAUAGCGCACAAGUAGAGUGAUCGAAAGAUGAAAAGCACUUUGGAAAGAGAGUCAAACAGCACGUGAAAUUGUUGAAAGGGAAGCGCUUGCAGCCAGACUUGCUUGCAGUUGCUCAUCCGGGUUUUUACCCGGUGCACUCUUCUGUAGGCAGGCCAGCAUCAGUUUGGGCGGUAGGAUAAAGGUCUCUGUCACGUACCUCCUUUCGGGGAGGCCUUAUAGGGGAGACGACAUACUACCAGCCUGGACUGAGGUCCGCGCAUCUGCUAGGAUGCUGGCGUAAUGGCUGUAAGCGGCCCGUCUUGAAACACGGACCAAGGAGUCUAACAUCUAUGCGAGUGUUUGGGUGUCAAGCCCGAGCGCGUAAUGAAAGUGAACGGAGGUGGGAACCCGCAAGGGUGCACCAUCGACCGAUCCUGAUGUCUUCGGAAGGAUUUGAGUAAGAGCAUGGCUGUUGGGACCCGAAAGAUGGUGAACUAUGCUUGAAUAGGGUGAAGCCAGAGGAAACUCUGGUGGAGGCUCGCAGCGGUUCUGACGUGCAAAUCGAUCGUCAAAUUUGGGCAUAGGGGCGAAAGACUAAUCGAACUAUCUAGUAGCUGGU
RNAcentral lists this ribosomal RNA (868 nucleotides) under Alternaria gossypina. RNAcentral describes it as "LSU rRNA". It matches the Rfam family "Eukaryotic large subunit ribosomal RNA", at positions 69 to 955 of the family's 3401-position model. Lineage: Eukaryota; Fungi; Ascomycota; Dothideomycetes; Pleosporales; Pleosporaceae. The record is from RNAcentral.